UACGGGGGGGGCAAGCGUUGUUCGGAAUUACUGGGCGUAAAGGGCUCGUAGGCGGCCAACUAAGUCGGACGUGAAAUCCCUCGGCUUAACCGGGGAACUGCGUCCGAUACUGGAUGGCUUGAGUUUGGGAGAGGGAUGCGGAAUUCCAGGUGUAGCGGUGAAAUGCGUAGAUAUCUGGAGGAACACCGGUGGCGAAGGCGGCAUCCUGGACCAUUACUGACACUGAGAAGCGAAAGCCAGGGGAGCAAACGGG
RNAcentral lists this ribosomal RNA (253 nucleotides) under uncultured bacterium. RNAcentral's name for it is "partial 16S ribosomal RNA". It matches the Rfam family "Bacterial small subunit ribosomal RNA", at positions 524 to 776 of the family's 1533-position model. The record is from RNAcentral.